RNAcentral lists this long non-coding RNA (1947 nucleotides) under Oryza sativa aromatic subgroup. RNAcentral describes it as "lncRNA OsARC_11g0008680". The record is from RNAcentral. Lineage: Eukaryota; Viridiplantae; Streptophyta; Magnoliopsida; Poales; Poaceae. RNAcentral also lists the same sequence under 1 other name.
CUGUCACGCGGCGACGGCGGCGGCGGCGUCGCCGGCGCGGCGACAUGCUCCACCUCCGCAACCACCUCCUCCCGCUGCUCCACGCCGCCACCUCCACCGCCUCCUCCUCCCCUCUGCACCUCACCCACCGCCUUCUCUCCACCGCCGCAAGAUCCCCCUUCUCCGUCGAGCACUACCUCAUCGCCACCUGCGGCCUCACCGCCGCUCAGGCGCGCAGGGCGUCCCCGAAGCUCUCCCGUCUCAACUCCUCCUCCAACCCCGACGCCGUGCUCGCCCUCCUCUCCUCCUCCGCCGCCGGCCUCGACUCCCUCUCCCUCUCCCGCGCGGACCUCGCCGCCGUCGUCGCCGCCGAGCCGCGGCUGCUCCGCGCGAGGCCCGGCACCAUCGCCCGCCGCAUCGCCUCCCUCCGCGGCCGCGCCAACCUGUCUGCGCCCCAGAUCCGCAGCUUCCUCAUGUCCGGCGGCGCGGCGCACCUCGCCUCGUCCGACGUCUCCCCGAAGCUCGCGUUCUGGGUCCCCUUCCUCGGCUCCUUCGACAUGCUCCUCAAGAUCCUCAGGAGGUGCAACGCGAUCCUCGCCACCGACGUCGACAGGGUGGUCAGGCCCAACGUCGCGCUGCUCGGGGAGUGCGGGCUAGGUGUUUGUGAUAUUGUCCAGAUGACCCAGACCGCCGCGUGGCUGCUCACGUUCAACCCAGAGCGACUGAAGAUUGUCGUGCGGCGCGCCGAGGAGCUCGGCGUGCCCACUUCAUCGUGGGCGUUCAAGGACGCCGUGUGCACCGUCGCCCGUAACAACGAGGGCACCAUCGCCGCGAGGAUGGAGUUCUUGCGCGGCACUCUUGGUUGCUCCAUGGACAAGCUACGCUCUGCGAUCAGCAGGAAGCCGAGCAUUCUAGGAUUCUCGGAGAAGACGCUUCGCGGCAAAAUAGAGUUCUUGCUCACUAAGGUCCAAUUGGAGACUGAAUACAUCUUGCAGAGGCCUGUGAUGCUCACGCUCAGCCUGGACAAGCGGUUGGCGCCGCGGCAUUAUGUUCUACAAGCCCUUGUGGAGAAGGGGUUGAUAAAAAAUGAUGUUGAUUACUACAGUUGUGUUUGUUUUGGCAAUGAACAUUUCGUAGCGAGGUACAUUGAUCGCCACGAGGAUGCUCUUCCUGGUCUCACGGAUGCCUAUGCCGCUGUUCAUGCUGGCAAAUCGCCUGCACAAAGUCUAACUCAACAUCUUAAGACAGACAGAUAUCGGAGUGAUGGAGAGGCAACAUACGUGUUGAGGAAUCAACCGGUCGGAAUGGAAGACAAGUGAAAAUAGGCACGUAUAUAACAUCGGUUGGAACAGAAGGCAUGAAUGAUCAAACAUAUGUCCAAAAAUCAUCAACGUCAAACAUUACAAGCUGAAGGGGGUAUAGUAAGGUAAUUAACCAACAAUGCCAAAAGUCUAUUUCAACUACUUAUCGUUGGUUUGGACCUUCGAGAUGGGCCGGUUCUAUCAACUAGGAGACAAGGGGGCCCAUCCAGAGACCAACAACAGCUUGGCCCAGCCCAUGCACAUCUAGAGUUGCAUCCAGCAUCUGAUUUCUGCUACAAGGAAGAAUCGUUCACUAGAACCCCAGUGGCAGCAUGAAGCGUUCACAGCAUGCACAAUGCAUCAACAAACCAAGGGGAACUAAAAAUUUUAAUGGUGCUAAAAUUUUGGGAAUCUCCUGCUUCUGUACUCUCUUAACUUUUAGCUGAACUUUGGUAGUACCCAACUUUUAACCAUUCCAAUUUUGGUAAUGCUAGAAUUAAGGUUAGGCUUCAUAUGCUUCGUAUGGCUAAUGAGCCAAACAUAUAGCAUCAAUGCUUUCACUUGGCAAAAGUUGUUGAGCCUUUCCAAAUGCAUGAAGCAAUCCAAAUUGUUUUUAUUACUAUAUGACAAAUGCAUCAGGUGACAUUUUUAUGGGGUGAUGUUGUCC